ACCAAGGCGCAACGUGGCUGAAAGUAAACGAUGAUCCUCAAGGAACUCUACGUUAAAAUACGAAUCAAAAUGCAAAAUGAAUCCUGGCCUGGUGGCAACUCCGGGUGAGGUUUUUU
RNAcentral lists this small RNA (116 nucleotides) under Rahnella variigena. Its description in RNAcentral is "Enterobacteria greA leader". It matches the Rfam family "Enterobacteria greA leader". Lineage: Bacteria; Pseudomonadati; Pseudomonadota; Gammaproteobacteria; Enterobacterales; Yersiniaceae. The record is from RNAcentral. RNAcentral also lists the same sequence under 1 other name.